CCAGACUCCUACGGGAGGCAGCAGUGGGGAAUAUUGGGCAAUGGGCGAAAGCCUGACCCAGCAACGCCGCGUGAAGGAAGAAGGCUUUCGGGUUGUAAACUUCUUUUGACAGGGAAGAGCAGAAGACGGUACCUGUCGAAUAAGCCACGGCUAACUACGUGCCAGCAGCCGCGGUAAUACGUAGGGGGCAAGCGUUAUCCGGAUUUACUGGGUGUAAAGGGAGCGUAGACGGCACUGCAAGUCCGGAGUGAAAGCCCAAGGCUUAACCAUGGGACUGCUCUGGAAACUGUGGAGCUUGAGUGCGGGAGGGGCAGGCGGAAUUCCUAGUGUAGCGGUGAAGUGCGUAGAUAUUAGGAGGAACACCGGCGGCGAAGGCGGCCUGCUGGACCGUAACUGACGUUGAGGCUCGAAAGCGUGGGGAGCAAACAGGAUUAGAUACCCGAGUA
Molecule: ribosomal RNA, 446 nt
Filed under: uncultured bacterium
Lineage: Bacteria
Description: bacterial SSU rRNA
Rfam family: Bacterial small subunit ribosomal RNA
Source: RNAcentral